AACGCUAGCUACAGGCUUAACACAUGCAAGUCGAGGGGCAGCGCAGUGUAGCAAUACACGGGCGGCGACCGGCGCACGGGUGCGUAACGCGUAUCCAACCUUCCCGAUACUCUUGGAUAGCCUUCCGAAAGGGAGAUUAAUACAAGAUGGUGUUUCACUUCCGCAUGUUAUUGAAACUAAAGAUUUAUCGGUAUCGGAUGGGGAUGCGUGACAUUAGAUAGUAGGCGGGGUAACGGCCCACCUAGUCUACGAUGUCUAGGGGUUCUGAGAGGAAGGUCCCCCACACUGGAACUGAGACACGGUCCAGACUCCUACGGGAGGCAGCAGUGAGGAAUAUUGGUCAAUGGUCGGAAGACUGAACCAGCCAAGUAGCGUGAAGGAUGAAGGUUCUAUGGAUUGUAAACUUCUUUUAUACGGGAAUAAAACCUCCCACGUGUGGGAGCUUGUAUGUACCGUAUGAAUAAGCAUCGGCUAACUCCGUGCCAGCAGCCGCGGUAAUACGGAGGAUGCGAGCGUUAUCCGGAUUUAUUGGGUUUAAAGGGAGCGUAGACGGGAUGUUAAGUCAGUUGUGAAAGGCUGCGGCUCAACCGCAGCACUGCAGUUGAUACUGGCGUCCUUGAGUGCGGUUGAGGUGUAUGGAAUUCGUGGUGUAGCGGUGAAAUGCUUAGAUAUCACGAAGAACUCCGAUUGCGAAGGCAGUACACUAAGCCGUAACUGACGUUGAGGCUCGAAAGUGUGGGUAUCAAACAGGAUUAGAUACCCUGGUAGUCCACACGGUAAACGAUGAAUACUCGCUGUUGGCGAUAUACUGUCAGCGGCCAAGCGAAAGCAUUAAGUAUUCCACCUGGGGAGUACGCCGGCAACGGUGAAACUCAAAGGAAUUGACGGGGGCCCGCACAAGCGGAGGAACAUGUGGUUUAAUUCGAUGAUACGCGAGGAACCUUACCCGGGCUUAAAUUGCAGAGGACAGGCGCAGAGAUGUGCUCUUCUUCGGACCUCUGUGAAGGUGCUGCAUGGUUGUCGUCAGCUCGUGCCGUGAGGUGUCGGCUUAAGUGC
RNAcentral lists this ribosomal RNA (1056 nucleotides) under uncultured Bacteroidales bacterium. Its description in RNAcentral is "bacterial SSU rRNA". It matches the Rfam family "Bacterial small subunit ribosomal RNA", at positions 32 to 1087 of the family's 1533-position model. Lineage: Bacteria; Pseudomonadati; Bacteroidota; Bacteroidia; Bacteroidales. The record is from RNAcentral.